This 245-nucleotide long non-coding RNA is filed under the name Panax ginseng (ginseng). RNAcentral describes it as "long non-coding RNA (PGIN_LNC006673)". Lineage: Eukaryota; Viridiplantae; Streptophyta; Magnoliopsida; Apiales; Araliaceae. The record is from RNAcentral.
GGCUAAACAAAUAGCAUACCAUAUCAUUCUCAAGGUUUAUAUCAGUAGCAUGCAUUAUAGGUAUUUCAUUAAGCUAGGCAUGACUUUUGAAUCCUAACAUAUAGACGUGCAAGACUUUGGAAAGUUGUAAUUUUUACCAGCUGAAGCUGCUUUUCCAUAUGAAUCUUUCAAGUGCAAAACCAGUUUAGAACAAGUUGACUUAUGAUAAUCUUGUACGGCAAGCUCCAUGGCAAUUUUUUGCUCUU